Fukomys damarensis (Damara mole-rat) is the source of this 107-nucleotide small nuclear RNA. The record is from Ensembl. Lineage: Eukaryota; Metazoa; Chordata; Mammalia; Rodentia; Bathyergidae.
GUGCUUGCUUUGGCCACACAUAUACUAAAAUUGGAAUGACACAGAGAAUAUUAGCAUAGCCCCUGUGUAAGAAUGACAUGCAAACUUAUGAAGAGUCUAUACUUUUU